Long non-coding RNA from Dreissena polymorpha, 1113 nucleotides. RefSeq lists it as uncharacterized. The transcript is spliced from 6 exons. The record is from RefSeq and is a predicted model, not a curated record. NCBI's taxonomy places the organism in Eukaryota, Metazoa, Mollusca, Bivalvia, Myida, Dreissenidae.
CGCAAACGAAGCGUCUAAAAGAGAGGAAGACAAAUUGAGGUUCUUCAUUGAAAAGAAUGGUGGAUACACAUGUCAAACUGACCAUGCAAUAAGAAUACCUGGAACCGAAGUUAUGAAUAACAUUCACAAUUCAAUUAAUCGUUAUGACAGAAUAAUAAUUCUUAUAACAGAUCAAUCUGCUUCAAAAGGAUGGUUCACAUUUGCAGUUUUGUCUGCCUUAGAAAACAUAAUUGUGGAAAAUCACAUGAGACUUUUGGUCGCAUACAAAGGAAAUCGACGUGAAGAUGUUGGGUUUCUGAAACCGGAUUGCUGUCGUUGACGCCCAAGACGUUUGUCGACCUCACUGAAUGGCAGGGAUAUGAAAGGCUUCUUAAACAACUGAAAACUCCAGUGUGUUUGGACGAAGAAUUACCAGCGGGAAACUUGCAUCUUGGCUUGGUUCAUUCCCACAUAUCCGGUUACAUGUGCUAUGUUGCUGAAGAACAAUAAUUGGUUGGAGAAAUGCGAUGGUUACAGAAAAGAACAAAAAACUACUGAUUGGAAAUUUUCUGUUGGCUGUACCAAAAACCUGCGCUGUCCCACAGCAGCUUCCGUCAAAUUCGGCAUCAGGCAUUGCUAUUUCGAAUGUGGAUACAUUUGAGUUUAAGAGAAUACAUGCGGGUAAAAACACAGAGAUUAUGUUGUUACCAUCAACCAGAUAAAGCACGCGAACAACGAGUUGUACGUUUGUGCCCAGGUACCAACUACGAUAACUGCAAUAUCAAAUCUUGCAAAGCAGCACCUUGGGAAAAUAAAUGUCGCUCUCGAGCACCAGCGUUUCUGUCAAUCAUACCAGCAGAUAAUCGAUGCGAAAGGAUGGGGUGACUUCUUGGAAAUCGUUCCAUGUGAAGAUGAAAACGAUAUUCCUGUCACGUUGUUUAAGGCAGCGACGGCAAACAAUACCAAGAAGACUGGGGCAGAAACUUCUCUAAUAAGCUGGAGUUUUGUCCGAUUUUAAAAGGAUGAGUGUUUACAUAUCAUGUUUUGAUAUUGAUGGAGAUUCUUGUGAAGAGAUCGAAAAAGAGCUACAAAAACAUCAUAUGAACAUCAUACGACAUGAAAACACACCAGGAA